UCUGACCUCGGCAAUCAGCUCAGUGAAGGUAGUUAGGGCAACAAGCUGACGUGCGGUGAAAAGGUCACUCCACUUGGUCA
RNAcentral lists this small RNA (80 nucleotides) under Sinorhizobium meliloti 2011. Its description in RNAcentral is "putative ncRNA". The record is from RNAcentral. Lineage: Bacteria; Pseudomonadati; Pseudomonadota; Alphaproteobacteria; Hyphomicrobiales; Rhizobiaceae.